Molecule: non-coding RNA, 123 nt
Organism: Brachypodium distachyon (stiff brome)
Lineage: Eukaryota; Viridiplantae; Streptophyta; Magnoliopsida; Poales; Poaceae
Source: Rfam
CUAGUACUUCCUCCGUCCAACAAAGGAUGUCUCAACUUUGAUCAAAUUUGAAUGCACCGUGUAUAGGUGCAUUCAAAUUUGAUCAAAGUUGAGACAUCCUUUGUUGGACGGAGGGAGUACUGU